UACGGAGGGUGCUAGCGUUGUUCGGAAUCACUGGGCGUAAAGGGCGUGUAGGCGGUCUGUUAAGUCUGAUGUGAAAUCCCCUCGCUCAACGAGGGAACUGCGUCGGAUACUGGCAGACUCGAGUACCGGAGAGGAAGGUGGAAUUCCCGGUGUAGCGGUGAAAUGCGUAGAUAUCAGGAGGAACACCGGUGGCGAAGGCGGUUCUCUGGGCCUGUACUGACGCUGAGGAACGAAAGCGUGGGGAGCGAACAGG
This 253-nucleotide ribosomal RNA is filed under the name uncultured bacterium. RNAcentral describes it as "partial 16S ribosomal RNA". It matches the Rfam family "Bacterial small subunit ribosomal RNA", at positions 524 to 776 of the family's 1533-position model. The record is from RNAcentral.